RNAcentral lists this ribosomal RNA (244 nucleotides) under uncultured Polaromonas sp. RNAcentral's name for it is "partial 16S ribosomal RNA". It matches the Rfam family "Bacterial small subunit ribosomal RNA", at positions 1139 to 1382 of the family's 1533-position model. Lineage: Bacteria; Pseudomonadati; Pseudomonadota; Betaproteobacteria; Burkholderiales; Comamonadaceae. The record is from RNAcentral.
CCUAAUGAGACUGCCGGUGACAAACCGGAGGAAGGUGGGGAUGACGUCAAGUCCUCAUGGCCCUUAUAGGUAGGGCUACACACGUCAUACAAUGGAUGGUACAAAGGGUCGCCAACCCGCGAGGGGGAGCCAAUCCCAUAAAACCAUUCGUAGUCCGGAUCGCAGUCUGCAACUCGACUGCGUGAAGUCGGAAUCGCUAGUAAUCGUGGAUCAGAAUGUCACGGUGAAUACGUUCCCGGGUCUU